CUUUUUCUUUCACUUUUCCAUCUCCUUCUCUGGGUCUCUCCUCGAGAAACACUUACCCUCUCUCACUACCAUUUCCUCCCUCCCCCGAGCACACCCACACACCAUCGUGGUUUAACCUCCGGCGAACCACUAAAGCACCUAUAUCCUUCUUGCUCAUUUCAAACGCUCUCGGAGUUGAUACUGUGCUCAAUGGACAGAUGCAGCAAAGGCUGCCAUCAUUGCCAUACUUCCCAGUGAAAGUUCAUAACUUUCUCGAUCAAGUUUAGUGGCUGAGAUUUCGUGUUAACGAGAAUUCUUGGCAAACUUUGGUUUAGGUGAUUACCUUCGAUGGUAUAAUUCUCAUCCUAUUUUCCUAUACUUUACUUAUGCUCCGACAUCACGUGUGAAAUAGGUUCAUUCCCGCUCAUAAGCACGCUCUUAUAUUUAAGCUCUUUUAGGUUUUAAAUUUAUUCACAUUUUCCACAUCACUACACUUUGUGGUUUCGUCACCCUCCUGUUGUUAGCCAGCGCAGCUCGAUUCGGAGUCCAAGUGGACAUCCCGGGUCGAGGUGUGUCAAUAUCGAAAUAUAUUGUAUAACAAAAAUUAAUUUAAAUGUUUACAACAAAAUAUAUUACGAUGAAUGAAAUAAAAAUUAUAAUUAUAAUGAAAUAUAAUUAAUACAUUAAAAUUAGGAAGAAAAAGAGAAAGAAUUAAACCAUCAAAAUAUAAUUAAAUAAAAUGGGGUGAUUAAUGUAUCAAAUGAUUAAAAUUAGAUUUUAAUCUUACUCAUGGUUUUAGUCUAAAAGUCAUCUUUGCCAAGGAUUAGAAUGAAGUUUCCUAAAAUUACAAUAACAAAAUAUAUUUUACUUAAAUUAUAACGCAUAUUUUUUCAUAUAUGUUAAAAAGUGUGAUAUUCAAUCAUGUCACUUAUUUAUAUUACAUUAUAGAAAAUGAUAUAUCACGUAUCAAAUAUGUCAAACUCAUUAAAAUUACUCUACGUAUCUCAAUCGAAAAUGUUUAAUUAACUCGAUCAAUAUACAAGUAGGGAGUUAAGUAUUUGGGUCCUAGUCUUAAGCUAGCUCUUCUUAUAAUGAUGGAAAAUCAUUCCUCAUAUAAAAUUAAGUUCUAAUCUUUCCGUGCCCACUUCCAAAUCUUUUCAAGAUGCCAAAAAAUCAUGUUGGAGGAUCGAAUUGGUCCCAAGAAGAGUAUUAGACGACGGUAAAAACCCGUCAUCCAGUAUAGUCCCAAACUGUCGCUCCAAGGACAACCGGAUAACAAUUUUGUAGGUUUAUUAUAAAGAGUAAUGCUAGGUAGACUAAAUUUUUUAAACUAAAUGAUGUGGUUGUAGACGAUUGAGUUAUUAAUUAAAUGUCAAUAAACGUGCUUGUUUCUAAUUGGUGACAUGUCAUUGGUUCGCAAUUUGGUUUAAAAAAAAUUUGCCUCCCUAGCAUUACUCUCUUAUAAACCCCCAUCCCAAAAGCAACCAGAUGACGUUUUUGCGUAAAAUCGUCGUCCCAUCAACUAAUAUCAACAAAAAGUAGGUUUUCUGUAAGGGUAAGGCUGGGGAGACCAAAUUCUUAAGCUAUAUUUUGUAAACCAAAUAAUGUGAUUGUUGAUGAUUGGAUACUAUUACUUAAGUGUUGAUUAACGUACUUAUUUUUUACUAGUGACA
Molecule: non-coding RNA, 1652 nt
Organism: Malus domestica (apple)
Lineage: Eukaryota; Viridiplantae; Streptophyta; Magnoliopsida; Rosales; Rosaceae
Source: RefSeq, a predicted model, not a curated record